Hypanus sabinus (Atlantic stingray) is the source of this 1017-nucleotide RNA transcript. It is a transcript of the gene named mediator complex subunit 10, with no coding region annotated. Lineage: Eukaryota; Metazoa; Chordata; Chondrichthyes; Myliobatiformes; Dasyatidae. The record is from RefSeq and is a predicted model, not a curated record. The transcript has 5 exons.
CUCCUCCUGUAUCCCAGCGAUCGCAGCGCGCGGGCGGAAGUGCCCAAGAUGGCGUUUUGAGGGUGUCGGUGUUGCGGAUCGACGCGGCUCGCACCAUGGCGGAGAAGUUCGACAGCUUGGAGGAGCAUCUGGAGAAAUUUAUUGAGAACAUUCGACAGCUUGGCAUCAUCGUCAGCGACUUCCAGCCCAGCAGCCAGGCGGGCCUCAACCAGAAACUAAAUUCUAUGAUUACGGGACUACAAGAUGUUGACAAAUGCCGACAACAGCUGCAUGAUAUUAAUGUACCACUGGAAGUAUUUGAGUACAUUGAUCAAGGUCGAAAUCCUCAGCUUUACACCAAAGAAUGCCUGGAGAGAGCCUUGGCCAAGAAUGAACAAGUCAAAGGGAAAAUUGAUACCUUGAAGAGGAGUGUGGGUGAACAAUAGAGGAUGGAUGAGGACAAUCAGUCGUGCUGGAACAGUGAGGGCCAUACAAAAGCAGUUGCUAAAAAUUGCAAAUAAGAGUGAUUGGCAGUAUACAACAGAUCAGAAAUUCAAGGGACUUUUGAUUCACGAACUGAGCAAAGUUUUUCCUGAAGAAAUGUCUAAAUACCGAGCUAUCCGAUGUGAAGAUCAUCUGCCCACGUAGCUAGAUCCAAUGUGUUUUAUUUUGCAAAACUAUAUUGCUUCCUUUUUCCAGGAAACCAACCCGAUUAUGGCUAGUUUUUUGUAGCCAGAUAAAUUAUUCUUGACUGCUCUGAAGGAAUACAUGAUAUGUUUCCAAUACAUGACAUACAGCAGAAUAUCACUGAGAAAGCAUAAAAAUGCCUUUUUUACAUUCUGGAUGCAUUACUGCUUACAUUGAAUGGAUUUAGUUGGUAUGUGUGUCGACAUUAUGGCAACAUCUGAAAUGUGUGGGGUAGACAAAUUUAGUUUAAAACUGAUUUUGAGAUACUUUUGUACCAGUGUACAUGAAUUCAUUUUCUAUAUUGCUGGACCGUGCAGCAAUUUUUAUAAUAAAAUAAGUUGUUUGCUACCA